GCAGUUCUAGGAGCUAGGGAAUUAAGUGAUUGCAUUCAUUUUGUGCACAGUCCUGUGCUAUCUGUGAAAAACAUUUAUGUAAAAGAGCCUGGAAUAUGCUCUGAGUUUUUUGGAAGUCAUAUCAUAUCUUGUCUCUUUUACAGAUUACAUGACUGAAUACCAGGAUCUUUUCAGUUACCACUAUGGUCUGUGUACCAAGUUUUAUUCCACCAAUUAGCUUAUCAGCUGGAAUUCCUGGUACAUGAAGAAAUUUUGGGGUAUAAUAUCCCUAUAGUGAGGAGGAAUUGGAAAUAAUAUUUGUACACUGCUUUAGAAAUGUUUGCUUGUGUGAUGAAUAUGAAGCAGGUUUAUUCAUUCUGCCAACUUUGAAUUCAUAUGGUGUAGCAGAUAAAAUUAUUAUUUGGCCUUUGCUCUUGCGGUCUUUCACUGCAGAAGCUGCCCAAAUCGUCCCACUUAACCUGUUGCUGUAGAAGUUAUAAAUUAAUUUAGAGAGGCAUCAACAACUUUUUUUGACAGAAGGAUUCAAAUAUUAGGAAAAAAAAUACCCUGCAAUAAGCUUGUCCUACAAAAGAAUUUUGGCCUUCUUUCCUGUGGAUUCCCUGUCAAAGAAGUCCUCCAAGAAUUAUGCCAAGAAGUUCCACAGGAACCCAUGUUUUCUGUGGGCAUGAAAGCUCAAAUCCAGAAGUGACUACCAAAAUAUACAAUUUCAAGAAGGACAGAACAACAUAAAAGGAACAAAUAAGCCUGUGAAUGUCAUCUUGGGAUGCCUGCUGCAAAACCACCAGCUGGAUUAUUGAGAUUUCCUUCAAUGCCACCACCUGAACCAUGGAGUGGUUGGACAGACUCCAUUUCCUACCUUCAAGUGAGAAAUUGGAGCUGAGACUUAACACCUCUACUGUAAAAACAAUUCUGAAGAACAAAAGAGCAAUGGGAAGUUUAAACACUACAAAGGUAAUGACGUGA
Molecule: long non-coding RNA, 963 nt
Filed under: Dromaius novaehollandiae (emu)
Lineage: Eukaryota; Metazoa; Chordata; Aves; Casuariiformes; Dromaiidae
Description: lncRNA (ENSDNVG00000011579.1)
Source: RNAcentral